CAUUUUCAUUCUCAAGAGUGACCACCACACCAUUAAUAAUUGCGUUGAAAUGAAUGAAUCAAAAUUUAAAAAACUUGGAAGCCAAUUGCUGACAACUGUUGACCAAACAUACCUUCUUUGAGAAGAGAAGAUCAAAGCAACUCUCUCUCUCCAUUUCUUUGCCUGAAAGGCUGAAACAACAAGAUUCAAACUUAGGAAGUUGUUAGCAGUUGUUGGGUCAUUCUCAUUUCUGAAUAACGAAGAGAUGGUGAAGCUCAAUCCCAACUGGGAACUCAAAAACUGCUGUAACCAUGAACAAGUUGUCUUUCUUGUCACCGUAGCUGUCUGCACUGUUGUUAUACUUGCGCUGUGGAGGACGAUACUACUGAGACCUUUCAAGCUUGUAACUGUAUUCCUUCACGAGGCUAGCCAUGCUAUUGCUUGUAAACUCACAUGUGGUCAUGUGGAAGGGAUCCAGGUUCAUGCAGAUGAAGGUGGAACAACUCAAACACGUGGUGGCAUAUACUGGCUAAUUUUGCCGGCUGGAUAUCUCGGUUCAUCAUUCUGGGGAAUGGUUUUGAUUCUAGCAUCAACAAAUCUUUUGACUGCAAGAAUUGCUGCGGGAUGUUUUGUCGCAGCUCUACUUAUUGUACUCUGUGUAGCUAAAAAUUGGACACUAAGGGGGCUUUGUAUUGGGUUUGUCCUUUUCCUUGGUGUUGUUUGGAUUCUUCAAGAAACAACAAAGAUUCGCAUACUUCGGUAUAUUAUUCUGUUCAUUGGUAUAAUGAACAGCUUGUUUUCAGUGUAUGAUAUAUACGACGACCUCAUAUCUCGUAGAGUUCAUUCUAGUGAUGCCGAAAAAUUCGCAGAAGUAUGUCCUUGUCCUUGCAAUGGAGUCGGAUGGGGUGUGAUCUGUAAUAUGUGAUGGCAGGGGGUUAAUAUCAUUGGUGUUUCUUUGUGGUGCAAUGUAUAUUGGACUUGUAAUAUUGUCUUGAGUUGAGGAAGUAAGUGAAGAAACAAGGGCAAGUUUGGUUUUUCUUCGACAAUUUGAUCAUCAUUCAAUGUUUUAUUUACACACAUAUUAAAAGCUGACCUUCUCAUCACACACACCUCAAUUAAUCAUCCAUUUUUAUUCCACCACAAUUAAAAUUUACAACUGUUGUGUGCACUCAAAUGUCUCCAAGAGCCACUCAUAACAUGCUCUCAUUUUCUCUUGCUAUUAUAUUUGGAAUCAUGUUUAUAUAUAUCGUUUUUAAGACUUGCAUUAA
Molecule: RNA transcript, 1247 nt
Organism: Gossypium raimondii (Peruvian cotton)
Lineage: Eukaryota; Viridiplantae; Streptophyta; Magnoliopsida; Malvales; Malvaceae
Exons: 10
Source: RefSeq, a predicted model, not a curated record